Molecule: unclassified non-coding RNA, 332 nt
Filed under: soil metagenome
Description: partial contains 5.8S ribosomal RNA, internal transcribed spacer 2, and large subunit ribosomal RNA
Rfam family: 5.8S ribosomal RNA (bases 1-120)
Source: RNAcentral
GAUGAAGAACGUAGCAAAAUGCGAUAAGUAAUGUGAAUUGCAGAAUUCAGUGAAUCAUCGAAUCUUUGAACGCACAUUGCGCCCGCCAGUAUUCUGGCGGGCAUGCCUGUUCGAGCGUCAUUUCAACCCUCAAGCACAGCUUGGUGUUGGGACUCGCGUUAAUUCGCGUUCCCCAAGUUGAUUGGCGGUCACGUCGAGCUUCCAUAGCGUAGUAGUAAAACCCUCGUUACUGGUAAUCGUCGCGGCCACGCCGUUAAACCCCAACUUCUGAAUGUUGACCUCGGAUCAGGUAGGAAUACCCGCUGAACUUAAGCAUAUCAAUAAGCGGAGGA